Molecule: ribosomal RNA, 195 nt
Filed under: Chaetothyriales sp.
Lineage: Eukaryota; Fungi; Ascomycota; Eurotiomycetes; Chaetothyriales
Description: partial large subunit ribosomal RNA
Rfam family: Eukaryotic large subunit ribosomal RNA
Source: RNAcentral
AGUACAGGCGAGUGAAGCGCCAAACACACAAAUUUGAAAUACCACCGCAAGGGCCGAGUUGUAAUUUGUAGAGGCUGUGUGCGCUACCGCCACGGUUUAAUUUUCUUGGAACAGGAGGCCAAAGAGGGUGAGAGUCCCGUCUUGGACCGCGGUAGCACUCGUGUAAAACUCCUUCGACCAGGCGAGUUGUUUGGG